This 72-nucleotide transfer RNA is filed under the name Paenibacillus mucilaginosus. Its description in RNAcentral is "tRNA-Cys". It matches the Rfam family "tRNA". Rfam says of the family: Transfer RNA (tRNA) molecules are approximately 80 nucleotides in length. Their secondary structure includes four short double-helical elements and three loops (D, anti-codon, and T loops). Lineage: Bacteria; Bacillati; Bacillota; Bacilli; Caryophanales; Paenibacillaceae. The record is from RNAcentral. RNAcentral also lists the same sequence under 4 other names.
GGCGCUGUAGCCAAGUGGUAAGGCAGGGCUCUGCAAAAGCCUUAUCCCCGUGUUCGACUCCGGGCAGCGCCU